Molecule: long non-coding RNA, 2906 nt
Filed under: Homo sapiens (human)
Lineage: Eukaryota; Metazoa; Chordata; Mammalia; Primates; Hominidae
Description: long non-coding RNA NONHSAT257002
Source: RNAcentral
UUAAGCAUUGCCAGGCUGCAUCAUCAAGCUAUGAAAAAUAGCUUGCCUCUCAAGCCUUCCCUACUUCCCCAUAUCAUUGGAAGCUUUACUUCUAUCCCUGUGGUAUCAGGGAAUAUCUUACUCCUAGAGGAGCCAGACAACAGUGACUUCCACAAUAGCCUCAUGUGGGAGUGAGAGUUAAUAACUUGAAAGAUGGCCGGGUACGGUGGCUCACACCUGUAAUCCCAGCACUUUGGGAGGCUGAGGCGGGCAGAUCACGAGGUCAAGACCAUCCUGGCCCACAUGGUGAAACCCUGUCUCUACUAAAAAUACAAAAAUUAGCUGGGCAUGGUGGCGCGCAUCUGUAGUCCCAGCUACUCGGGAGGCUGAGGCAAGGACAAUUGCUUGAAUCCGGAAGGCAGAGGUUGCAGUUAGCUGAGAUCACACCACUGCACUCCAGCCUGGCGACAGAGCAAGAUUCCAUCUCAACAAAACAAAACAAAACAAAACAAAACAAAACAAAAACUUGAAAGACUGCCCAAGAAAGGUGAAGGUUAGAUCUCAGGGGAUGAUCUUGAAGCAACUGAGACAGACCUAGAAACUUGCCUCAUAUGAUACAAGAAGACCCAGCUUCUUUGUCUCUACCCUGUAGGCACUGGGUAGACAGGUAGGUGAUAUUUUACUUCACAAACAAGGGAACUAAAAGUAUGAACAUUUCUCUGUUCCUCAUUAUCUCUGCCCUAAAAUAUUUUGGCUAUCUAGCCCCAGUUAGAGCGGACUGGCACUGUCUGGUACAGGAGGUAUGCAGCAGAUGUUCUGCAUCUGAGCUCCAUUAUGACUGUCCCCCAACAAAUCAUCCCCCAGCCAGCCCAAGGGAACGUGGAAUUCAGAGGGGAACUGUUCUAACCAGGAGCAGCCAAUUAGAUCCAGGCCAGAGAAACCCAUAUCCAGGCACUUUAUCUUUGUCCUAAAAUGAACCUAGCUAACCUCUUCAGGCUAUCCAAAACCCUGACCACUCCACAUAGAGAGACAUUUGCUAGCCUUACAUGUCACUUUCCACUGUACACAUACCAAUGACACCUGAACCAGAUAUAAAGACAGACCCACAAAGGUUCUGCUGAGCCUAAGGAUCUGCUCACCUAUUUCUGAUCCCGAAUGCCCCUGGGACAUCUUCCAGAAUGUGUGCCUCCAAAUAAAGUCUAGAAAAUUGGAGGAAAAUUUAAAUGCAGAUGAAUCGAGAAGGAAUAAAAGCCAUUAGAAAUUCUGGGAAAACAAGAAAUAUAGAAGAAAGUCACGGGGCUGGGUGUGGUAGCUCACGCCUGUAAUCCCAGCACUUUAGGAGGCCAAGUCGGGCGGAUCACCUGAGGUCAGGAGUUCGAGGCCAGCCUGGCCAACAUGGAGAAACCCUGCCUCUACUAAAAAUACAAAGAUUAGCCAGGCGUGGUGGCACAUGCCUGUAAUCCCAGCUACUCAGGAGGCUGAGCAGGAGAAUCGCUUGAACUGGAGAGGUGGAGGUUGCGGUAAGCUGAGAUCGCACCACUGCACUCCAGCAUGGGUAACAAGAGCAAAACUCCAUCUCAAAAAAAAACAAACAAAAAAAAACAAAAGUCACAACCCAAAUAUGAAGCAAACAAACUUUCAGAUGAUGAUGGUACAGUGUGUUUAUAACACUAACAACUCACUUUUCUCCCCACACAUAGCAAUCGUAAAAAUAAAAACAGCCAGGCACAGUGGCUCAUGCCUAUAAUCCCAGCGCUUUGGGACACAGAGUUGGGCAGAUCACCUGAUGUCAGGAAAUCGAGGCCAGCCUGGCCAAUAUGGCAAAACCCCGUCUCUACUAAAAAUACAAAAAAAAAAAAAAAAAUAGCUAGGUGUGGCGGUGAGUGCCUGUAAUCCCAAGUACCUGAGAUGCUGAGGCAGGAGAGUUACUUGAACCCAGGAGGUGGAGGUUGCAGUGAGCUGAGAUCGCAGCAUUGCACUCCAGCCUGGGUGACAAGAGUGAAACUCCAUCUCAAAAAAAUAAAUUAAUAAAAAAUAAAACAAAACAAAACAAAAACAAAGGCUUGGGCACAGUGGCUCAUGCCCAUAAUCCUAGCAUUUUGGGAGGCUGAGACAGGAUUGCUUGAGUCCAGGAGUUCAAGACCAGCCUGGACAAAAUAGCAAGACACUAUCUGUACAAAAAAUUAAACAAUUAGCUGGGCAUGGUGGCAUGUGCCUGUAGUCUCAGCUACUUGGGAGGCUGAGGUGGAAGGAUCACUUGAGCCCAGGAGAUUGAGUCUGCAGUGGGCUAUGAUUAUGCCACUACACUCCAGCCUGGGAGACAGAAUAAGACUCUGUCAAAAAAUAAUAAUAAUAAUAACAAAAAAGGAAAAGAAAAAGAAAACUAAAAGAUAUAGUCAGGCUCAAAUACCAGAUAAAGAUAUCCAAAAUCCAGAGAGCAAUAGAAACUGUGAACAGCGAAAAGGACUGAAACUGGGUAGCUGGUAGUUUGGCUUUUGUAGGGCAAAAGGGAUUGAAAAUGCUUCAUAGGAGAUGGGAGACUGGAGCCAGGCACAAGCUCAAAGACCUGAACAGUGGUGGGGCACCCUCAAUGUUAUGAAGAGAGAAUGAAAAUGAGCUGCUCCUAACUGCUGCUUGGGACCGUAGGUUCUAGUGAGCUGUAGGCCUAAGGUUUACAAGGCCAUAGCCUUGCAACCAAGAGAUAAGUCAAACACCCAAUGUUUAUGACUAGAUCUGCCCUGCUCUUAAUAUCUUCUUUGAUUCACUGCUAGUAGACUGUGUUCUGAUUUAGAGACCCGGACUGUGGAAUAGAAGCAAUAAAAAAACUGAUGGGCAAGGGAAGGUAAGGAGAGGGGUUGAGAAAGACAGAAAAAGAGGCUGGGCAGAGUAAGAUUCUGUCAGGAAAGAAAGAAAGAGAGAGAGAGAGA